This 497-nucleotide ribosomal RNA is filed under the name uncultured bacterium. Its description in RNAcentral is "partial 16S ribosomal RNA". It matches the Rfam family "Bacterial small subunit ribosomal RNA", at positions 28 to 507 of the family's 1533-position model. The record is from RNAcentral.
GAUGAACGCUGGCGGCGUGCUUAAUACAUGCAAGUCGAGCGAACAGACGAGGCGCUUGCUCCUCUGACGUUAGCGGCGGAGGGGUGUGUAACACGUGGAUAACCUACCUAUAAGACUGGGAUCACUUCGGGAAUCCGGAGCUAAUACCGGAUAAUAUAUUGCACCGCAUGGUUCAAUAGUGAAAUACGGUUUUGGUGUCUCUUAUAGAUGGAUCCGCGCCGCAUUAGCUAGUUGGUAAGGUAACGGCUUACCAAGGCAACGAUGCGUAGCCGACCUGACAGGGUGAUCGGCCACACUGGAGCUGAAACACGGUCCAGACUCCUACGAGAAGCAGCAGUAGGGAAUCUUCCGCAAUGGGCGAAAGCCUGACGCAGCAGCGCCGCGUGAGUUGUGAAGGUCUUCGGAUCGGAAAGCUCUGUUAUUAGGUAAGAACAAAUGUGUAAGUAGCUAUGCACUGCUUGACGGUACCUGAUCAGAAAGCCACGGCUAACUACGUG